UACGUUCCCGGGCCUUGUACACACCGCCCGUCACACCACGAAAGUCGGCAAUACCCGAAGCCGGUGGCCUAACCCGUAAGGGAGGGAGCCGUCUAAGGUAGGGUCGAUGAUUGGGGUG
RNAcentral lists this ribosomal RNA (118 nucleotides) under uncultured bacterium. RNAcentral describes it as "partial 16S ribosomal RNA". It matches the Rfam family "Bacterial small subunit ribosomal RNA", at positions 1367 to 1482 of the family's 1533-position model. The record is from RNAcentral.